Long non-coding RNA from Micropterus dolomieu (smallmouth bass), 461 nucleotides. RefSeq lists it as uncharacterized. The transcript has 4 exons. Lineage: Eukaryota; Metazoa; Chordata; Actinopteri; Centrarchiformes; Centrarchidae. The record is from RefSeq and is a predicted model, not a curated record.
CUCCCCCACCAGCUCACCCACCUCUCCUCUGUCACCUCUGGCUCAAAGACUGAACAUUGCUGAAACUCGCCAGGUACCGAGGAGGAUCGGUUCAGUUCUGUCUCGCCUGUUGAGAAGAGACUCUGUGAACAGCAGAGAGGAGAGGGAGGCUGAGCUGCAUCUGUACGCCGUAUCACAUACGUCCAGACUUUACCUCCAUCUACAGAGCUCAUGGAACAGCUUCAUUAUUAAGUCCACUCUGUUGUUGGACCCGCUCUACAGAAGGAGGUGCAGCGCUUCAUCCGGCUCCUCUCAUGGAAAGCAACUUCCUGCCAUCAGCUGGGAGCGGACAGCUCACCUGUUUGGUCAGCUGAGCUCUGAGCUCCUGCAGGAGGAGAUCAGUGUGGAGAGUCUCUACCUGCUGCUGCAGGAGCUGAAAACUGCUGCUCACCGCAACGUCGCACUACGCAGACUCUUCUGGA